UUGAUGAUGGCCAAAGUUCGUUCCUUUAGUUUAGAACAAUUUUAAAGCUCAUGUCUGAACAAAUUUUAAAGCUUAUGUUUCUCUUAAUUAUCAGGUAUGCAUGUUUAUUUCUUCUUUCUUCGAGAGUGCAUUCUCAUACACAAGACCUGUUGCUGUUUGGUGAGUUACUUGCAUCUGAGGAGCUUGUCUUGUGUCUGAAUCGCCUUUUGCUGUGACUGGACUGUAUUGAAACUGCAGUUUGAUAGCUUGUGAUGACUGAACCCAUCUUAAAGGCUGCUAGGUAUUGAUUCAGUUGGAAUGGUGUAGAGCCUGAUGAGUGACGAAGCUUCAAGGGUUGCGAGUGCCAGAGUACAGAGUGACGAAGCUUCAAGGGUUGCGAGUGCCAGAGUACAGAAAAUGGAAUCCUUGCUCCAGAGCAUCUUCACUGCCGGGUCUCGGUGUCGGGCUGAGAUUGUGAAGGCUGCGACCGUGCAUUCGGAUUCUUAUCGUCAUCCUCUCGGUUUGUCCUGACUUCAAAUGUACUUGAGAAGAAGAACACGUUGGGGAUUGUAUGAUCACUUUCUUCUUUGUGCUUGCUUCUAGUGUUGUUGUAUUGGUAGUGCGUUAGUCUCAAAGCAACUUUCCAUGAGAGGAAGACCACAAAGACUUGCAUUCACUUCAAAGAAUGAUUUAGGUUUCUUUGAUUUUAAUUUUGAUAUGUUAAAGCUUGUUGAGACAUUGGUUCGUAGAUGAAGUUCCUAGACUUAGCAAAUGAAAUAAUUUAUGUUUUGAAAAAUUAAUGAAAUAUAAUUUCUUAUAUAUAGAUCAAAUUGCAAUGUUUUGAUUUACAUUUUGCACUACAAUUUAUGUGACAAUUAAAAUUUCAACAAUAAUAAAUUUGAAAAAAAAAAGAAUUUUUUAUUUCAAAUUCUAUACCCUAAACAUGCCCUAAAUCCUAAAUUGUGAAUAUUUCAUCAUAAAAUCCUAAGAUAGCACAACUAGUAAUAUGAUAAAAAGAAAAU
Brassica napus (rape) is the source of this 1001-nucleotide long non-coding RNA. RefSeq lists it as uncharacterized. NCBI's taxonomy places the organism in Eukaryota, Viridiplantae, Streptophyta, Magnoliopsida, Brassicales, Brassicaceae. The transcript is spliced from 2 exons. The record is from RefSeq and is a predicted model, not a curated record.